RNAcentral lists this ribosomal RNA (490 nucleotides) under uncultured bacterium. RNAcentral describes it as "partial 16S ribosomal RNA". It matches the Rfam family "Bacterial small subunit ribosomal RNA", at positions 30 to 507 of the family's 1533-position model. The record is from RNAcentral.
AUUGAACGCUGGCGGCAGGCCUAACACAUGCAAGUCGAACGGUAACAGGAAGCAGCUUGCUGCUUUGCUGACGAGUGGCGGACGGGUGAGUAAUGUCUGGGAAACUGCCCGAUGGAGGGGGAUAACUACUGGAAACGGUAGCUAAUACCGCAUAACGUCGCAAGACCAAAGAGGGGGACCUUAGGGCCUCUUGCCAUCGGAUGUGCCCAGAUGGGAUUAGCUAGUAGGUGGGGUAACGGCUCACCUAGGCGACGAUCCCUAGCUGGUCUGAGAGGAUGACCAGCCACACUGGAACUGAGACACGGUCCAGACUCCUACGGGAGGCGGCAGUGGGGAAUAUUGCACAAUGGGCGCAAGCCUGAUGCAGCCAUGCCGCGUGUAUGAAGAAGGCCUUCGGGUUGUAAAGUACUUUCAGCGGGGAGGAAGGGAGUAAAGUUAAUUCCUUUGCUCAUUGACGUUACCCGCAGAAGAAGCACCGGCUAACUCCGUG